RNAcentral lists this ribosomal RNA (253 nucleotides) under uncultured bacterium. RNAcentral's name for it is "partial 16S ribosomal RNA". It matches the Rfam family "Bacterial small subunit ribosomal RNA", at positions 524 to 776 of the family's 1533-position model. The record is from RNAcentral.
AACGUAGGAGACAAACGUUAUCCGGAGUUACUGGGCGUAAAGGGCGUGUAGGGGGUUCUGUAAGUCUGGCGUGAAAUUUUUCGGCUUAACCGGGAAAGGUCGUCGGAUACUGCAGGGCUAGAGGACGGUAGAGGCGUGUGGAAUUCCGGGUGUAGUGGUGAAAUGCGUAGAGAUCCGGAGGAACACCAGUGGCGAAGGCGACACGCUGGGCCGUACCUGACACUGAUGCGCGACAGCAUGGGGAGCAAACAGA